This 450-nucleotide long non-coding RNA is filed under the name Mytilus galloprovincialis (Mediterranean mussel). The record is from RNAcentral. Lineage: Eukaryota; Metazoa; Mollusca; Bivalvia; Mytilida; Mytilidae.
CAUGGUACUAACAAAAAACCUUAUGUAACUCAAAAUACAACUCCACCCGAUACAUAAACAACUGCAAAAAGCAAUGUGUCUUUGGCAGAUCAAAAUGAUAACAUGGGUAGUGAUUAUUAACAUCUGCAAAAUAUUGAAGAUAAUGGUCAUAAAUAUCAUAAGGAAUUACAAAGAUCAUGUGAAAACAGUAUACGGAACUCACAAACAGUGCUUUUAUUGAAAAGUCAUCUUAAAUGACACAUGGAUUAUACUGUGUAUGUCAGUAUAUUUCAUUUAAAAAAUUUGUAAGGUGUGUGAGCUAGGUUUGCUAUAAAAUAUUUAAAUGACAAUUAUAUAGUAUUUCUAAAAAAAAAAUAUCAAUGUAAUUACUGUCAAUUCAGAAAUUAUUGCAACGUUUUUAUUAUUUUGAAAAAUACGACAUAAUUUAAAUUUGCAUUUUGUAAUUCUUUU